RNAcentral lists this ribosomal RNA (305 nucleotides) under uncultured bacterium. RNAcentral describes it as "bacterial SSU rRNA". It matches the Rfam family "Bacterial small subunit ribosomal RNA", at positions 334 to 636 of the family's 1533-position model. The record is from RNAcentral.
UGGCCCUACGGGGGGCAGCAGUGAGGAAUAUUGGUCAAUGGGCGGAAGCCUGAACCAGCCAAGUCGCGUGAGGGAUUAAGGCCCUAUGGGUCGUAAACCUCUUUUGUCAGGGAGCAAGGUCGUCCACGUGUGGGCGUAUGGAGAGUACCUGAAGAAAAAGCAUCGGCUAACUCCGUGCCAGCAGCCGCGGUAAUACGGAGGAUGCGAGCGUUAUCCGGAUUUAUUGGGUUUAAAGGGUGCGUAGGCGGGCUUUUAAGUCAGCGGUAAAAAUUCGGGGCUCAACCCCGUCCGGCCGUUGAAACUGG